AUGAACGCUGGCGGCGUGCCUAAUACAUGCAAGUCGAGCGAACGGACGAGAAGCUUGCUUCUCUGAUGUUAGCGGCGGACGGGUGAGUAACACGUGGAUAACCUACCUAUAAGACUGGGAUAACUUCGGGAAACCGUAGCUAAUACCGGAUAAUAUUUUGAACCGCAUGGUUCAAAAGUGAAAGACGGUCUUGCUGUCACUUAUAGAUGGAUCCGCGCUGCAUUAGCUAGUUGGUAAGGUAACGGCUUACCAAGGCAACGAUGCAUAGCCGACCUGAGAGGGUGAUCGGCCACACUGGAACUGAGACACGGUCCAGACUCCUACGGGAGGCAGCAGUAGGGAAUCUUCCGCAAUGGGCGAAAGCCUGACGGAGCAACGCCGCGCGAGUGAUGAAGGUCUUCGGAUCGUAAAACUCUGUUAUUAGGGAAGAACAUAUGUGUAAGUAACUGUGCACAUCUUGACGGUACCUAAUCAGAAAGCCACGGCUAACUACGUG
RNAcentral lists this ribosomal RNA (496 nucleotides) under uncultured bacterium. RNAcentral's name for it is "partial 16S ribosomal RNA". It matches the Rfam family "Bacterial small subunit ribosomal RNA", at positions 29 to 507 of the family's 1533-position model. The record is from RNAcentral.